This 73-nucleotide transfer RNA is filed under the name Rhodothermaeota bacterium MED-G12. RNAcentral's name for it is "tRNA-Gly(gcc)". It matches the Rfam family "tRNA". Rfam says of the family: Transfer RNA (tRNA) molecules are approximately 80 nucleotides in length. Their secondary structure includes four short double-helical elements and three loops (D, anti-codon, and T loops). Lineage: Bacteria; Pseudomonadati; Rhodothermota. The record is from RNAcentral.
GCGGGAAUAGCUCAGUGGUAGAGCACAACCUUGCCAAGGUUGGGGUCGCGAGUUCGAAUCUCGUUUCCCGCUC